UGGCUCAGAUUGAACGCUAGCGGGAUGCCUUACACAUGCAAGUCGAACGGCAGCACGGACUUCGGUCUGGUGGCGAGUGGCGAACGGGUGAGUAAUGUAUCGGAACGUGCCUAGUAGCGGGGGAUAACUACGCGAAAGCGUAGCUAAUACCGCAUACGCCCUACGGGGGAAAGCAGGGGAUCGUAAGACCUUGCACUAUUAGAGCGGCCGAUAUCGGAUUAGCUAGUUGGUGGGGUAACGGCUCACCAAGGCGACGAUCCGUAGCUGGUUUGAGAGGACGACCAGCCACACUGGGACUGAGACACGGCCCAGACUCCUACGGGAGGCAGCAGUGGGGAAUUUUGGACAAUGGGGGAAACCCUGAUCCAGCCAUCCCGCGUGUGCGAUGAAGGCCUUCGGGUUGUAAAGCACUUUUGGCAGGAAAGAAACGUCGUGGGUUAAUACCCCGCGAAACUGACGGUACCUGCAGAAUAAGCACCGGCUAACUACGUGCCAGCAGCCGCGGUAAUACGUAGGGUGCAAGCGUUAAUCGGAAUUACUGGGCGUAAAGCGUGCGCAGGCGGUUCGGAAAGAAAGAUGUGAAAUCCCAGAGCUUAACUUUGGAACUGCAUUUUUAACUACCGAGCUAGAGUGUGUCAGAGGGAGGUGGAAUUCCGCGUGUAGCAGUGAAAUGCGUAGAUAUGCGGAGGAACACCGAUGGCGAAGGCAGCCUCCUGGGAUA
This 721-nucleotide ribosomal RNA is filed under the name uncultured Achromobacter sp. RNAcentral's name for it is "bacterial SSU rRNA". It matches the Rfam family "Bacterial small subunit ribosomal RNA", at positions 20 to 736 of the family's 1533-position model. The record is from RNAcentral. Lineage: Bacteria; Pseudomonadati; Pseudomonadota; Betaproteobacteria; Burkholderiales; Alcaligenaceae.